Molecule: ribosomal RNA, 467 nt
Filed under: uncultured bacterium
Lineage: Bacteria
Description: partial 16S ribosomal RNA
Rfam family: Bacterial small subunit ribosomal RNA
Source: RNAcentral
GACGAACGCUGGCGGCGUGCUUAACACAUGCAAGUCGAACGGAAAGGCCCUGCUUUUGUGGGGUGCUCGAGUGGCGAACGGGUGAGUAACACGUGAGUAACCUGCCCUUGACUUUGGGAUAACUUCAGGAAACUGGGGCUAAUACCGGAUAGGAGCUCCUGCUGCAUGGUGGGGGUUGGAAAGUUUCGGCGGUUGGGGAUGGACUCGCGGCUUAUCAGCUUGUUGGUGGGGUAGUGGCUUACCAAGGCUUUGACGGGUAGCCGGCCUGAGAGGGUGACCGGCCACAUUGGGACUGAGAUACGGCCCAGACGCCUACGGGAGGCAGCAGUGGGGAAUAUUGCACAAGGGGCGGAAGCCUGAUGCAGCAACGCCGCGUGCGGGAGGACGGCCUUCGGGUUGUAAACCGCUUUCGCCUGUGACGAAGCGUGAGUGACGGUAAUGGGUAAAGAAGCACCGGCUAACUACGU